Molecule: ribosomal RNA, 465 nt
Filed under: uncultured bacterium
Lineage: Bacteria
Description: partial 16S ribosomal RNA
Rfam family: Bacterial small subunit ribosomal RNA
Source: RNAcentral
GACGAACGCUGGCGGCGGGCUUAACACAUGCAAGUCGAACGGAAAGGCCCCUUUGGGGGUCCUCGAGUGGCGAACGGGUGCGUAACACGUGAGUAACCUGCCCUUAACUUCGGGAUAACUUCAGGAAACUGGGGCUAAUACCGGAUAGGAAUCCUUGCUGCAUGGUGGGGGUUGGAAAGCUUCGGCGGUUUUGGAUGGACUCGCGGCUUAUCAGCUUGUUGGUGGGGUAGUGGCUUACCAAGGCUUUGACGGGUAGCCGGACUGAGAGGGCGACCGGCCACAUUGGGACUGAGAUGCGGCCCAGACGCCUACGGGAGGCAGCAGUGGGGAAUAUUGCACAAGGGGCGGCAGCCGGAUGCAGCAACGCCGCGUGCGGGAUGACGGCCUUCGGGUUGUAAACCGCUUUCAGCAGGGGCGAAGCUUGUGGUGACGGUACCUGCAGAAGAAGCACCGGCUAACUACGUG